RNAcentral lists this long non-coding RNA (352 nucleotides) under Rattus norvegicus (Norway rat). RNAcentral describes it as "long non-coding RNA NONRATT023063". The record is from RNAcentral. Lineage: Eukaryota; Metazoa; Chordata; Mammalia; Rodentia; Muridae.
CUUGCCUAUGGGCCCUGAAAUGAAGCAGAGAUCAAGGAGCUGCAGGUGAGGUGACUCAGAAGACUGAAGGAUGCAAUGUUUCAGAACAAGCUGGAGAUAAAGUCCACCGAAGUCAUCCUUCCAGCAAGGUCUGCUGAGUCUCUCAGCCUGGUUCCAGUGGGGGUCCGAGAGGAGCUACAGUCACUUUCCACCCUUUGUCACUGCUCUUAAACUGGGCGCUGUUCCUGGGGACAACAUGAUGCCCGUGCCCUAGGGAUAUAACGUGGCCAACUGCUCCCAGCUUCUGACAACUCCCCCACCACAAUGGACCAUCACCGGGAACUGAGUUAAAAAUAAAGCUUUUGUCUCUUAA